GAAUCCCUGCUGUGCACGUUGGAACAAUGAUAAUUAUUGAACCAACAGCAAUUUACAGGGGGCUCAAAGAUUCCUAAGCGCUUUUAGCGUUUAAGGAGAGGGCACCCACCUGAAAGAAAACAGGUUCAAACUAUCACUCCAACGGCACAAUGCGGGGAUUUU
RNAcentral lists this non-coding RNA (162 nucleotides) under Candidatus Omnitrophota bacterium. RNAcentral's name for it is "6S RNA". It matches the Rfam family "6S / SsrS RNA". Rfam says of the family: E. coli 6S RNA was the first non coding RNA to be sequenced, but its function was unknown until recently. It consists of 184 nucleotides that fold into an extended hairpin structure with a large single-stranded internal bulge. Lineage: Bacteria; Pseudomonadati; Candidatus Omnitrophota. The record is from RNAcentral.